GACGAACGCUGGCGGCGUGCUUAACACAUGCAAGUCGAACGGAAAGGCCCUGCUUGCGGGUACUCGAGUGGCGGACGGGUGAGUAACACGUGGGUGAUCUGCCCUGCACUUCGGGAUAAGCCUGGGAAACUGGGUCUAAUACCGGAUAGGAGCCAUUUUUAGUGUGAUGGUUGGAAAGUUUUUUCGGUGUAGGAUGAGCUCGCGGCCUAUCAGCUUGUUGGUGGGGUAAUGGCCUACCAAGGCGGCGACGGGUAGCCGGCCUGAGAGGGUGGACGGCCACAUUGGGACUGAGAUACGGCCCAGACUCCUACGGGAGGCAGCAGUGGGGAAUAUUGCACAAUGGGCGCAAGCCUGAUGCAGCGACGCCGCGUGGGGGAUGACGGCCUUCGGGUUGUAAACUCCUUUCGCUAGGGACGAAGCUUUUUGUGACGGUACCUAGAUAAGAAGCACCGGCUAACUACGUG
Molecule: ribosomal RNA, 464 nt
Filed under: uncultured bacterium
Lineage: Bacteria
Description: partial 16S ribosomal RNA
Rfam family: Bacterial small subunit ribosomal RNA
Source: RNAcentral